GGGCAGUGAAGGGGAAGGGGGGCAGCCAAAGGAGGGGGGGGCAACAAAGAGGGGGGUGGGGGCAAUGUGAUCUGACCCCCCCCUUGUGCCCCCCCCAGGGCUCUGGUCGGGGGGUGCGCACCCGGCUCAGGAAGAAGGUGCCCCCCCCGGAUCAGGACAGCUGAUGUCCCCCCCCCCCACCACAACCUCACACCGCAUGGACCUCAUUAAUUGGGGGGGGGGCUGCUCUGUGUGCCCCCCCCCCCCCCCCCCCCAGGACUUUUACCCCCUGCAGGAGCCCCCCCCUCACCCCCAGGACGGGGAAGGACCCCCAUGGAGGGACAGCAGAGCGCCGCCCCCCAGCGCCCCCCAACGCCCCCCAACGCCGCCCCCCACCCCGGCACAGCGCGGACCUGUGGGGGUCCCUGGGGGAUUUGGAGCGGGGGGUCCCACGGACACGGCGGGGUCGGACGGUGAGACCCCCCCCCCGGGGGGCACGGGGGGGUCCAGAAGCUGAAGAAGACGUGGCUGACCCGGCUGUGGGAGGGGUCGGUGCGAACGGACGGGACCGAGGAGGGACCGAAACGUGGAACCAAACGGAACCGGGACGGAACCGGGACCGGCACCAACAAACGGGGACACAACGGAACCGGCACCGGCACCGAGCGGGGACCGGGAGGUAGAAACUGGGGUGGGGAACGGACGAACCCCGACACGAGGGACCCUCCUGGGUCCCCAUCAAAGCACCGCCCCCCCCCCAAAAGGUGCCGCCCCCCC
Molecule: long non-coding RNA, 756 nt
Filed under: Coturnix japonica (Japanese quail)
Lineage: Eukaryota; Metazoa; Chordata; Aves; Galliformes; Phasianidae
Description: lncRNA (ENSCJPG00005002407.1)
Source: RNAcentral